UCCUUCCGCUUCCGCUUUCUCUCCAGUCAUUCAGCGCCCGCACUCCUGGUCUGGCGCUGCUGGGUCUAGGUUCCGGGUUCGUUUCUCUGGUUUCCGGGCCAGGCUGGUGUGUCCCGCUGCCUGCCGGGCGGAGCCGCGGUCCUCCGGUGUCUGGACUCGCAGGCCGAGCUCCCCCGGUCCCGUGGCUCCCUGCCGGCCCGGUCUCGGGUCGCAUCGUCCUCCCCACCCAAUGGAGUCCCAAUGCGACUACUCGAUGUACUUUCCGGCUGUGCCGCUACCGCCACGCGCCGAGCUGGCCGGGGACCCGGGCCGGUACCGGGCGCUGCCCCGGCGCAACCAUCUGUACCUGGGGGAGACAGUCCGCUUUCUGCUGGUGCUGCGCUGCCGAGGCAGCGUGGGGGCUGGCGUUGGGGGCGGCGCGGGCUUGGCAUCCCGAGGGGCCUGGACCGAGCUGGCGACCUCCCUGGCCGCCCUGGCCUCGGUCAGCGCAGGAGGAGCGCUGCCAGGGUGCGGCAGCGCCGGCGACCAGGAUGCUGACCCCCCGGGGGGAGGGGACCCGGGGGGCGGGGGUUUGUUUCGAGGUUGCAGCCCCCUUCUCACCCACGGCCAGGGCCCUGCUACCUCAGGGGGCGCGACCACGCUGCCUGUGGAAGAACCGAUUGUGUCCACAGAUGAAGUCAUCUUCCCACUCACCGUUUCACUGGAUAGACUGCCCCCAGGGACACCCAAGGCCAAGAUUGUAGUGACCGUGUGGAAGCGGGAGGUCGAGGCACCAGAAGUCAGAGAUCAAGGCUACCUGCGCUUGCUACAGACUCGAUCUCCUGGGGAGACUUUCCGUGGAGAACAGAGCGCCUUCAAGGCCCAAGUGAGCACCCUAUUGACGCUGCUGCCCCCUCCAGUUCUGAAAUGCCGGCAGUUCACUGUGGCUGGAAAGCACUUGACCGUGCUCAAGGUGCUGAAUAGCUCUUCCCAGGAAGAGAUCUCCAUCUGGGAUAUCCGAAUCCUCCCCAACUUCAAUGCCAGUUAUCUACCUGUCAUGCCUGAUGGCUCUGUGCUGCUGGUGGACAAUGUCUGUCACCAGUCUGGGGAAGUCUCCAUGGGAUCCUUCUGUCGGCUUCCUGGAACAUCUGGCUACUUCCCCUGUCCACUUAGUGCCCUGGAGGAACACAACUUCCUGUUCCAGCUGAGAGGGGGUGAGCAGCCCCCUCCUGGGGCCAAGGAGGGCCUUGAAGUCCCCUUGAUUGCCGUGGUUCAGUGGUCCACGCCGAAGCUGCCCUUCACCCAGAGCAUUUACACCCACUACCGCCUCCUCUCUCACUGCUCCUAGCCUGCCCAGUGUCCGCCUAGACCGCCCCUGCUUUGUGAUGACUGCUUCUUGUGAGUCCCCUGUUCGGACCUACGAGCGUUUCACUGUCACCUACACGCUGCUCAACAACCUCCAAGACUUCCUUGCUGUGAGGCUUGUGUGGACCCCGGAACAUGCACAGGCUGGAAAGCAGCUGUGUGAGGAGGAGCGCCGGGCCAUGCAGGCAGCCCUAGACUCCAUCGUCUGUCACACACCCCUCAAUAAUCUUGGCUUCUCCCGGAAGGGCAGCGCGCUUACCUUCAGUGUGGCCUUCCAGGCCCUGAGGACGGGGCUCUUUGAGCUGAGCCAGCACAUGAAACUGAAGCUGCAGUUCACUGCCAGCGUGUCCCACCCUCCGCCUGAAGCCCGGCCCCUGUCCCGAAAGAGCAGCCCCAGCAGUCCUGCUGUCCGAGACCUGGUGGAGAGACACCAGGCCAGCCUGGGCCGUUCUCAAUCUUUCUCCCACCAGCAGCCUUCCCGUAGCCACCUCAUGAGGUCAGGCAGUGUGAUGGAACGCAGGGCCAUCACACCCCCUGUGGCCUCUCCCGUCGGCCGUCCCCUCUACCUGCCCCCCGACAAGGCUGUGCUUUCUCUUGAUAAGAUUGCCAAGCGUGAGUGUAAAGUCCUGGUGGUGGAGCCCGUCAAGUAGCACCGUUUGCUAGCUCAACCCCGGACAGGACACGCCAGAAACCCUAAGCCCCAGAGGGUCCCUUGUUCCUAGGCUGUACCUCCCACUGUGGGCAGAGAGGCCUUGCAGGGCUGCCUGUCUGUGUCUGCUGGUGAGGGAUGAGGGCAGAAGCUGUGAAAUCACAGUGUGGCUGCAGCUCAGACAACAGUAUUCCAUAAGUUCGGGGGGGGGGGGGUGCGCGAGGGGAGGGCUGGCCCCACCCCAGCAGGGCAAGGGCUGCGGGAGCUCCCUUGUCCUGUCCUUCGUCCAGUUUACAGAGUAUCCUCUCUCACUCGUGUUCAAGCCUCCCUGCCACUGCCGCUGCUGUUCCUUUGCACUCACCCGCAGGGCUGAGAUUAGAGGGUGGUAGUGGUAAAGGGACCCAGGACAAUGACUCUCCUGUCUCAGGGGUUGGAUGGCCUCUUUCUGCCCCUCAUGUUUACGUUGGCAGCCUGAAGCACUUUAAGUUCUGUUUUUGUUUUCUGUUUUUGUCUGUUCCUGUAACUUAUUCUCUGACUACAUCUUCCAGCUGAAGUAAAACUAUUAAAAGCUGUUUGGGAGGGAG
Molecule: RNA transcript, 2577 nt
Organism: Mus musculus (house mouse)
Lineage: Eukaryota; Metazoa; Chordata; Mammalia; Rodentia; Muridae
Gene: Trappc14
Gene name: trafficking protein particle complex 14
Exons: 11
Source: RefSeq, marked validated